Molecule: long non-coding RNA, 1064 nt
Filed under: Podarcis muralis (Common wall lizard)
Lineage: Eukaryota; Metazoa; Chordata; Lepidosauria; Squamata; Lacertidae
Description: lncRNA (ENSPMRG00000013253.1)
Source: RNAcentral
AAACUGGUUCCUUGUGACAAAGUUCUUGUAAAACACCAGCUGGAAUGGAAAACAGCUCUACCUCUCUUUUAAAUCAGAACCAGUGAAGGCGGUGAAGGUCCUGUGUGAGUGUCUGGAGGCGGUUGGAGGAUGGAUGGCGGCUAACAGAUUGAGGUUGAAUCCUGACAAGACAGAAGUACUGUUUUUGGGGGACAGGAGGCGGGCAGGUGUGGAGGAUUCCCUGGUCCUGAAUGGGGUAACUGUGCCCCUGAAGGACCAGGUGCGCAGCCUGGGAGUCAUUUUGGACUCACAGCUGUCCAUGGAGGCACAGGUCAAAUCCGUGUCCAGGGCAGCUGUUUACCAGCUCCAUCUGGUACGUAGGCUGAGACCCUAUCUGCCUGCGGACUGUCUCGCCAGAGUGGUACAUGCUCUGGUUAUCUCCCGCUUGGACUACUGCAAUGCACUCUACGUGGGGCUACCUUUGAAGGUGACUCGGAAACUACAACUAAUCCAGAAUGCGGCAGCUAGACUGGUGACUGGGAGCGGCCGCCGAGACCAUAUAACACCGGUCUUGAAAGACUUGCAUUGGCUCCCAGUACGUUUCCGAGCACAAUUCAAAGUGUUGGUGCUGACCUUUAAAGCCCUAAACGGCCUCGGUCCAGUAUACCUGAAGGAGCGUCUCCACCCCCAUCAUUCUGCCCGGACGCUGAGGUCCAGCGCCGAGGGCCUUCUGGCGGUUCCCUCAUUGCGAGAAGCAAAGCUACAGGGAAUCAGGCAGAGGGCCUUCUCGGUAGUGGCGCCCACCCUGUGGAACACCCUUCCAGCAGAUGUCAAAGUGAUAAAUAACUACCUGACAUUCAAGAGACAUCUUAAGGCAGCCCUGUUCAGGGAAGUUUUUAACAUGUGAUAUUUUAUUGUAUUUUUGGUUUUUAUGGAAGCCGCCCAGAGUGGCUGGGGAGGCCCAGCCAGAUGGGCGGGGUAUAAAUAAUAAAUUAUUAUUAUUAUUAUUAUUAUUAUUAUUAUUAUUAUUAUAAAACAGAGGAGGGAUGAAACUGUCUUGGUGUCCAAGCUGAGCAGAUGGAGUG